UGGAACAUGGACCGUUGGUUUUCAUUUUUCAACAUCCACCGCUCAUAGCCUUGUUCAGGGUAGCGGUGGGGGUAUUUGUUUACUUUUUAAUUAAAUGGUGCAUCAUAUCGGUGACUUAUUAUAAACAGAUAAUUUAAAAUUUUAAUUGGAACUACUCCCACCGUUCCAAAUCGUAGAUCUUUUCUAGGUUCAUAGAUAUUGAUAAGAACAUCACUUGCUCGGAUAUAACCACAUUAGUAACUUUUG
Molecule: long non-coding RNA, 246 nt
Filed under: Setaria viridis
Lineage: Eukaryota; Viridiplantae; Streptophyta; Magnoliopsida; Poales; Poaceae
Description: long non-coding RNA (SVIR_LNC000526)
Source: RNAcentral